GCCGGGCAUAGUGGCGGGUGCCUGUAAUCCCAUCUACCUGGGAGGCUGAGGCAGAGAAUUGCUUGAACCCGGGAGGUGGAGGUUGCAGUGAGCCGAGACUGCGCCACUGCACUCCAGCCUGGGCGACAGAGCAAGAUUCUGUCUCAA
This 147-nucleotide non-coding RNA is filed under the name Gorilla gorilla gorilla (western lowland gorilla). The record is from Rfam by way of RNAcentral. Lineage: Eukaryota; Metazoa; Chordata; Mammalia; Primates; Hominidae.